This 439-nucleotide ribosomal RNA is filed under the name uncultured bacterium. RNAcentral's name for it is "partial 16S ribosomal RNA". It matches the Rfam family "Bacterial small subunit ribosomal RNA", at positions 339 to 795 of the family's 1533-position model. The record is from RNAcentral.
CUACGGGCGGCAGCAGUGGGGAAUUUUGCGCAAUGGGGGGAACCCUGACGCAGCAACGCCGCGUGCGGGGCGGAGGCCUUCGGGCCGUAAACCGCUUUCAGCAGGGAAGAAACAUGACGGUACCUGCAGAAGAAGCUCCGGCUAACUACGUGCCAGCAGCCGCGGUAAUACGUAGGGGGCGAGCGUUAUCCGGAUUCAUUGGGCGUAAAGCGCGCGUAGGCGGCUGCCUAAGCGGAGUUUCUAACCCCGGGGCUCAACCGCGGGCCGGACUCCGAACUGGGCGGCUCGAGUGCGGUAGGGGCAGGCGGAAUUCCACGUGUAGCGGUGAAAUGCGCAGAUAUGUGGAGGAACACCGAUGGCGAAGGCAGCCUGCUGGGCCGACACUGACGCUGAGGCGCGAAAGCCGGGGGAGCGAACAGGAUUAGAUACCCCGGUAGUC